Molecule: RNase P RNA, 365 nt
Filed under: Rhodocyclaceae bacterium
Lineage: Bacteria; Pseudomonadati; Pseudomonadota; Betaproteobacteria; Rhodocyclales; Rhodocyclaceae
Also listed under: 1 other name
Description: RNase P RNA component class A
Rfam family: Bacterial RNase P class A
About the family: Ribonuclease P (RNase P) is a ubiquitous endoribonuclease, found in archaea, bacteria and eukarya as well as chloroplasts and mitochondria. Its best characterised activity is the generation of mature 5'-ends of tRNAs by cleaving the 5'-leader elements of precursor-tRNAs.
Source: RNAcentral
GAAGUCCGCCAGGCAGCCGCUGUGCGUCUCGUGCGCAUGGAGGAAAGUCCGGGCCCCAUAGAGCAGGAUGCCGGCUAACGGCCGGGCGCUGUGAGGCGAUGGAAAGUGGCACAGAGAAUAGACCGCCUAAGUCUGCAAGGACCGGCAAGGGUGAAACGGCGGGGUAAGAGCCCACCGCAGUCCGUGGCAACACGGCUGGCACGCUAAACCCCAUCCGGGGCAAGGCCAAAUAGGGAAGCCAUGACGCUGCUCGCGUCGCUUCCGGGUAGGCUGCUAGAGCGCCGCGGCAACGCGGCGCCCAGAGGAAUGGCUGCCGGACAGCUUCGGCUGUCUUACAGAACCCGGCUUAUCGGCGGACUUCCAAC